UGGGCAGCUGACCCUGUAGCUGCUAAGGGGCGUAGUGAUGUUUCCACCCCUAAGCUGUUACAUCGUCUGUUGUUCACC
This 78-nucleotide microRNA precursor is filed under the name Heliconius melpomene (postman butterfly). RNAcentral describes it as "mir-2756 microRNA precursor family". It matches the Rfam family "mir-2756 microRNA precursor family". Lineage: Eukaryota; Metazoa; Arthropoda; Insecta; Lepidoptera; Nymphalidae. The record is from Rfam by way of RNAcentral.